RNAcentral lists this transfer-messenger RNA (383 nucleotides) under Hydrogenophaga sp. It matches the Rfam family "transfer-messenger RNA". From Rfam's summary of the family: Bacterial tmRNA, also known as 10Sa RNA or SsrA, is named for its dual tRNA and mRNA-like properties. Its role is to liberate the mRNA from a stalled ribosome. Lineage: Bacteria; Pseudomonadati; Pseudomonadota; Betaproteobacteria; Burkholderiales; Comamonadaceae. The record is from RNAcentral.
GGGGCUGCACCGGUUUCGACGUGGGUUCGGACGCGCAGCAGGGCAUGUCGAGGUUCUGUCACCUCGUUAAUCAGCAGAAAAAACGUAACUGCAAACGACGAACAGUUUGUUCAGCUGAAGGUCGCUAACACCUGAUGCUCCCCCGCAACAGCUCGCCGAUGGGCUGGGUGAGGUGCCCGCAAGGGUACUGAGCUGCGGGGUCAUUCACAUCGGCUGGCUUUGCGUCGGGCACCUUGACGCAAAGUAAGAUUCAAGGAUGCUGGCUUUCCGUUUAGCGUGCCACUGCGCGACUCGGGGGGCGAGACUCAAAUCAGACGGCUACACAUGUAGAACUGCUCGAAGAAGGCUUGCGGACGGGGGUUCGAAUCCCCCCAGCUCCACCA